This 599-nucleotide ribosomal RNA is filed under the name uncultured bacterium. RNAcentral describes it as "bacterial SSU rRNA". It matches the Rfam family "Bacterial small subunit ribosomal RNA", at positions 139 to 755 of the family's 1533-position model. The record is from RNAcentral.
UGGAAUAACAAGUGGAAACACUUGCUAAUACUGGAUGACGUCGGAUCGUCGCCUGACGAACUGACGAAAGGGUUACCGGAUCGGGAGGGUCUCGCGGCCUAUCAGCUCGUUGGUGGGGUAACGGCCCACCAAGGCUUCGACGGGUAGCUGGUCUGAGAGGAUGAUCAGCCACACUGGGACUGAGACACGGCCCAGACUCCUACGGGAGGCAGCAGUGGGGAAUCUUGCACAAUGGGCGAAAGCCUGAUGCAGCAACGCCGCGUGCGGGAAGAAGGCCCUAGGGUUGUAAACCGCUUUCAGCAGGGAAGAAACUGACGGUACCUGUAGAAGAAGGUGCGGCCAACUACGUGCCAGCAGCCGCGGUGACACGUAGGCACCAAGCGUUGUCCGGAUUUAUUGGGCGUAAAGAGCUCGUAGGCGGUUCGGUAAGUCGGGUGUGAAAACUCUGGGCUCAACCCAGAGCCGCCACCCGAUACUGCUGUGACUCGAGUGCGGUAGGGGAGCGGGGAAUUCCUGGUGUAGCGGUGAAAUGCGCAGAUAUCAGGAGGAACACCGGUGGCGAAGGCGGGUCUCUGGGCCGAUACUGACGCUGAGGAGCG